GGGGUUUUAGCUCAGCUGGGAGAGCGCCUGCCUUGCACGCAGGAGGUCAACGGUUCGAUCCCGUUAAGCUCCA
This is a non-coding RNA of Erysipelothrix rhusiopathiae str. Fujisawa, 73 nucleotides long. NCBI's taxonomy places the organism in Bacteria, Bacillati, Bacillota, Erysipelotrichia, Erysipelotrichales, Erysipelotrichaceae. The record is from Rfam.